GUUAAUUUUUAUUUUUAAAUAUAUUUUAUUAAAGAUAGGGUUUUUUUUUAAUUACUGAGAUUAUUGGAGUACCCUUAAAUUUUGCACUAAAGUGAGUAUCUCAUAUGAUUCACCUUCAUCUCAGCCCUGCUUAAUGUUUCCUGAUGUGGGGCACCUUGUGCAGCUCUGUCAGUUAACUGUCUAACUCUUGAGGCUCCUGUCUUCAGCUCAGGGUCAUAAGGUCAAGUCCCACAUUGGGAUCCAUGCUGAGUGUGGAGCCUACAUAAAAAGAAAAAAAAAAAAUGUUCCCUGAUGUGUAUCCUUUCUUAAAGCUAAGUAAAACUGGUGCCAGUGGAAGUCUCUUGUUUUUCCUAAAUUUUGUUGUUUAUCCAAACCGAGAAUACUACAGCUAAUGUAGUAGAAUUAAUUACUGAAGUAAGUCAAACUUUUAAAAAUAUGGAAACAAUAAUUGGAGGAAAUGGAGAUAAUAAAGAAAAUAAGAUACGAAAAUAAACAAAAAUUCUGACUUAAUAUGCCUAAAGAUAUAUGAAAAUAUUGCUACCAAGAAUUGGAUACUAUUUUCAAAACGUGAAAUAUCCAGAGUACAGUUCUUUAUUUUCAACCAAUCUCUAUUAUUAUUUUUUUUGCUUCUACCUUACCCCAUUAUUUAUCCACCAAACCACAGGUAUCUUGUGCUGCAAAUAACUAAGACUUCCGGGAAUUGUGCAGUGCAAUGUCAAUUAUAUCAUUUCUUGUCUUUUCCCACUGACAACUUAGGUUACUUUUCUCACAUGUUUGUUAUUUACUGCUAGUCCAGAGACUUAGCUUGCAAAAUGUUGUUGCAUUGUUCUCAACCCUCAAUCUCCCCUAACUUGAAAGUUUGUGUCAUAUAAUGAAAAAUAACACUUUAGUUUCAUUUUAGUGGAGUGCAUGGAGGGAAACCAUAGAAGAGGUCAGUCUACCACCAUUACCUGAAAUUUAGCUUUUUAAAUGUUUAUCAUGUUUAUACAACACUUUUAUCAGCACAAAAAAGAACAUGAGUCAAGAUUUCUACAAUGAGAUUAAGAUGUGCGAAAUAUAUUUACAUUUUAGCAGAGAAUUUUAAGUAUCUUCUAUGUACCAAUACUAUACACUCUUUAUUGAACAUACAAUAUUUCAAAGAAGAAAGACAUAACAAUGGGCAUUUUCUAUAGUCUGAAAUAUAUUAUUUUGAAAAAAAAAAAAAAAACUCAUGGUGCAAUAGGAACAACCAUAGCUCAGUAGUCCAGGGAAGUCUACCAGAAAGGAUAACUUCUAAGUUCAGUCAUUAAAAAAUUAGACUAAGUACUAAAAGAAUGACAGGAAACAGGAACAUCUCUAGCUAAAUGCUAAGUAUAAUAGUAAUGCAUGUAACAUUCUAGAAAGAUAGGAGAACACAGCAUGAGGGAAGCCUCAUAAUUCAUUCAGCACAUUUAUAGCAAGAUUUGAAGGCAAUAAAGAAUGAUAAUUGUCAAGGUACUUCUUCAAAAGGAUAAGUCAUCGAUUCUUAACAUUAUUGAAUUAGCAGUGUAUUUACUGAAUUAGAACACUACAUAUUGACAAUAGAAGUAUAAAUGAGAUUUAAAUGGACAAAUUUACUACUUGACCUGCUAAACACUGUUUGAUUUUCAGUUUUAUUUAGAAGAGAAUAAUAUUUAAUAAUAUAGGUAGUCUAGAUUAAAGAAACUUCCACAAUUCAUGAAGGAAACAUGACAAACAAAUGUCAAAGGAAACUCCAUUUACUUCCUGUGUAAAUGAUCUUAAGAUACACUCAGAGUUAGGAAAGAAACCCUGAGAACAUGAGUUGAUUCUGGACAUUCUACUAAGGUACUAAGGAUAGAGUCUUGGCCAAGCAUCUUUAACAAACUGCAAUGACCUUUUUAUUCCAGUGAGCAUCUCCCAGUAUUUUAAAUUUAUCAUCAUGAACAAUACAGUCAACAUAAGGAAUUAGCAGCAAAUAGAAUUUUAAAAGAAUGUCUUGGUGUUCAAGAAGUUGAAAAUCAUAUUUAUACUCAGGUACUAAAGGCUUUGUCUCUGUUACUUAUUGUUAGGAAAAAUAAAUGACUAAAAGCAUCUAUUUCCAAAGGGCUUAACUAUAUCUUAAUUGUCACAUUCCUAAUGCACUGCUAAAGAGGGCAUUUCAACUCAUUUGUUUUCUGCCAAGAAACUGUCCCUGGCAUUUUUUUGUCUAUGCAUUCAUUAUUAAUUAACAUUUUACUAAUCCCUUUAAAGCAAGAAAUAUAAUGGGCAUUUUAACAUGUACUUUAAAAAUUAUUAAAAGGCAAGGGAGUCAUCCUCUAAUGUACUCACAAUAAGUAUAAUCCCAUUGGGAGUACACAUGCAAGAAUAGAAACGUUGGCUAAAUGGUUGUUUUUCCUUCUCUAUAUAUGACUAUAAAAGUAAGACUACUCUCUCCAAAGAAUAUUUUGGCAUUUAUUUUAGCAUGAAUGGUAUUUACUCUGCUAUUCUCUUCUCACCUUUCCAUUAUACAGGUAAACACACUCAUUUACUCUUGAGAAUAUUUUAUUCAUGGGGCAGUGACAUUGAAAUUGGAACCACAAUCUUUUGUCCUUUCCUAAGCUUGAAGGAAAAUAAAGAUAUAUUUUUCUUUAUGAAUUAUGAUCAUUUUUGUAGCUGAGAAAAAUGAUGGAUAAAGAUUAAGGCAUUUGGUUAAGAAUAAUACAACAUUGAUUUUUUUCACGUUCCUAUCAUCAUUAAAAUUUUGAUACCUUUAUUUCUUUCUUUAAGUUUUGGAUAUCCCCACAAGGACCUUAUUCAUGAGUAUCAGUAACUUAUAGAACAAAGAACGUUGGUAUUCUAGACCUUAGCAACAUUUGUGAUUUGGGACUAGUUUUCAGCUUCUCACAGUAUUAAUUUUUCCAUGUGUAAAGUGGAACAUUGACCACUAAUGUCCCUAUUAACUUCAAAUUACCAUACUGGGGUUUUAAUUAUUUACCCAGGUCUUAAGGUCUCUCAUUUAAAUAUUAUAUGCAAAUCACGAUUUAAUUUUCAUUUUGUAAGUUUUCAAAUGUCUUUUCACAUAAAAUAAAUGUGUGAACAGCAUUUUUUAUUCAAUUAUUAUGGUUGAGUAUUAAAAUUAUUCAAUCACACACUGGGAAACAUUUUAAUAAUAUACUAAUUUAUAUUUAACAUUUAUUGUAAUAUUUAUUAUUUCAGUUAAUGCCAUGAUUAUUUAGUAUUUACUUAAUAGGAUAAAAAAUUGUAGCCAAACAAAAUAGAUACCAAGACAAAGAGUAUUACCAGAUAUCAAGAAUAUUAUUUCACAGUGAUAAAAGGGGUCAGUCCAUCAGGAAGAUAUAACAAACCUAGUUAUAUAUAUACUUAAGAGCAAGGUUUAGAAAUACAUGAGACAAAAUUACAGAAUUGAAGAAAUAAAUCUCAAAUCCACACUUGUAUGGAGAGUUUACCACUGCUUUGGUAAUUGAGAGCAAGAAGACCAAAAAAAAAAAAAAAAAAAAAAA
This 3479-nucleotide long non-coding RNA is filed under the name Canis lupus familiaris (dog). RNAcentral describes it as "lncRNA (ENSCAFG00000056061.1, ENSCAFG00805011892.1)". Lineage: Eukaryota; Metazoa; Chordata; Mammalia; Carnivora; Canidae. The record is from RNAcentral.